Long non-coding RNA from Rhododendron vialii, 1923 nucleotides. RefSeq lists it as uncharacterized. NCBI's taxonomy places the organism in Eukaryota, Viridiplantae, Streptophyta, Magnoliopsida, Ericales, Ericaceae. The transcript is spliced from 4 exons. The record is from RefSeq and is a predicted model, not a curated record.
AAAAAGAUUGGAAAAAUGUGAACCGGGAACACUUGAUUACAACUUGAAAAGGCUUUAGUUUUUUCCUCGCGCCUUCUGAUUGUAGUCCGUUGUAACAACGUCGUCGAUCCAAGUCGACCUUCACCGUAGCCGAUCCGAGUUCCGAUCGCUGAGCCACCCGGCAGAGGUGUGUUCGCGACUCGGACGAUCGGAGCUGGUGAACUCAUCCACGCGGCCACACCCAUCGUCUCUUUCUCUCUACAACGGGUGUUUGCUAUUUGUGCCUCGGAAGUCUUAGAAAUUGAAUCACGUCUACAGCCAAGAAUGUGAGGAACAAUCUUAAGGUAAGUAAACUUGUGACCCUUACUGCGACAGAUAUGGAGCACGUUGAUCAGAAGCUCAAAUUAUGCCGGGAUCCGCUCACAUGACGAGUAUUGCUAAUGCACUUUUAUGUAUUAGGAGUAACUUUUGCUUUGAUAGUACGCUCUAUGUCUCUCAAUUGUCGUUAAUUUGUUGUAUCAGGAGUAAGAAACGAAAGCACCAGUCCAAGGAGAGUUCAAGUGAAUUGCAUGCAUAAUUUCACUGUUUGUUAUGGUGCCUCGACAUAUACGUUUCACUACAAGAAUGUGGUUUUCAAAUUUGGAAAAUCUUCUUAAUUUGUUUUGAUUUUGAUGUGGUCUGAAGCAGUCAUACCACUCCAUACAUGAUUUGAAAAAUUAGUGAGCGAGUGGUUGUUGAUUAGCUACGGUCCGUUGUAUACUUAUGGUGAUUAUUAUGACAUUUGUUGGAGGAAUCUUGCUGAGAAAAUAUCACCAUUACGAAUGCAAGCGGAGGAAAUUGAAUACUCAUUGUUGAGACGUUGGGUUUCAAGCUCUAGUGUUUAAAUUUCAGUUUAUGAAACUACCAAUUAAAGUGCAUCAUUAUGAUUUCAGUUUGAGCCCAAUUGAAUCCUCUGUUUUGCUUCUUUUUUGUUUUGGGAUUCAUUCAUGUUGCAUGUGGGAUCCGCAGGUAGAUUAUCAGAACCAUAAUCUAGUCUGUUUUUGUAACUAAUGUCAAUGUGGUAUAUGUUAUGCACUUGGUAGUUUAUGAGACCCACAAUUUGGUCUGUUUUGACUGUGAACUGAAGAUCUGUUUUGGUAAUGCCAUUUAAGAGAUGUUUGGAACCUGUUUAUGACCUAUUUUGUUUGUGGUAUGUUAUGAACCUGUUUUGUUUAAGAGAUGUUUAGAGCAGGUUCUGUAUUUGUUACUGGAAUGACUGUGUUUGUUACUGCAGUUUGUGAAAGUUUGUGACUGCAGCUGUUACUUACAUCUGCACUUGGAAUGAAGCUGUUAGUUACUGCACUUGGAAUGAAGCUAUUAGUUACUGCACUUGGAAUCUACCCUUGGAAGCUGUUAGUUUCUGCAUCAGUUGAAUCUGCAGUUGUAUUGGUUUUUAGAGCAGAUUGAGAAAGUAUUUGGUGCAAGUCAGCCUGAUAUUCUUGAAAUUGAGAAGGCAAAGAAAUUGCUCAAGAAAUGCUGUUUUUUCGAUGACUAUUACUGCUGCAGCUGAUGGGAAUUGCUACUGGGUUGGAAGUGCGGAGGUAUCGGGACCGCAAUGCUUGUAUCGGGUGAAUUUUCUGCUGCUCAAACAAUGAAUCAGCUCUCCACGUCCAUUAAAAUCAAACAAUCAUUGGAGGGGAUGCAUUAUGGUGCAAGCCCUUUCUCUCAUUCUCCUACUGCUACAGUACUAUUUGCUCUAUCUAUAUUAUUCAUUUUUCUAGUGUUACUAGUAUGGUACAAACAUAUAGUAAUGAGACGACGUAUGUGGUUUGAUAGACAAUCUUGUGAAUGAUUUCGACAAUGUGUUUCAUUCGGACGUAUGUGGUUUGAUAGACAAUCUUGUGAAUGAUAUCGACAAUGUGUUUCAUUCGGAAAUAUGGAAGACAGAUUUGUUGGAUAGGAGUA